This 2395-nucleotide non-coding RNA is filed under the name Leclercia adecarboxylata. The record is from RNAcentral. Lineage: Bacteria; Pseudomonadati; Pseudomonadota; Gammaproteobacteria; Enterobacterales; Enterobacteriaceae.
GUGCGACAAGAAGUCGUGAAAUUAUAUACAUAGAAUCUCAUGGCGUAAGCCAUAUUCAUCAUUGUCCCAACCAAUCUGGAAGAGGGACUCGUUAUUCAGCUAACGGUAGCCUAAGGAUAGUGCGUCACUGGUAACGGUGAGGUAUGAAGCAUCCCUACAAUGUAGUCAUGUCAUCGACAUCGGGUGUCCCCGCGAGGGUAAACCUGGAUUCUACCAGCAACAGGUGGAUGAGACGCUAGGCUGGGCGGUAAGAUCAACAUAUGUGAAUUGCUGAUAAACAUCGUGACGUAGAAGGAGCCAAAGUUGCUGUCAGGCUCAGACCAAAAGGUGCGUGGCCGGAUACUCUCUUACUGGAUGAGAUAUCGCUGACAAUAAGGCCACCGGUGAAUAGGCAAGAUCUACCCCGCCCGUGUGAUGUUUAUGGAACUUGGUAAGCCCGUAUUCCUGCCCUAGAGGCAAACGAACUGCAAAGUGAGUUGUUGGGGGUGCGGGUAAAGGAAGAUGGAGAAAGCGAAGGCCGCUCUGUAAUGGAGUGGAUAGGGGUUCGAAAUUUGCCUCAACACGAAAGUGGGCAGACUUCCAUCAGGUCUUUAAUCGCGAGAAAACAGGUAAAGCAUCCCUAAGGAGGAAAGCAAGUUGAAUGCAGCUGACAUCAGUGCAUCUGCGUCCUCCCACACGAUACACUGGCAUUCCAUAGACUGGAAAACCAAUCAUCAACAGGUGAGGAAGCUACAGGUCCGUAUCGCGAAGGCUGCAAGGAGUCAACAAUGGCGCAAGGUGAAAUACUUGCAGCGCAUGUUGACUCGAUCCUUCUCAGCAAAAACUAUUGCCAUACGAAGGGUUACUGAGAAUGCAGGGAAAAGUACUCCCGGCGUUGAUGGAGAUAUUUGGAACACUCCCGAGAAGAAGUGGAAUGCUCUGGGUAAAAUGAAGCGGAGCGGGUAUAACCCGAGGCCUCUUCGUCGAAUACUCAUCCCUAAAUCUGACGGCACUCGUCGCCCUCUGGGGAUACCAACUAUGCAGGAUCGUGCAAUGCAGGCACUAUACCUGUUAGCGUUGGAACCUGCAUCCGAGUCAGUAGCGGACUACAAUAGCUACGGUUUUCGCCCUAUGCGCUCAACGGCGGAUGCGAUAGAAGCCUUGUUUAUUAACCUGGCGAAAAAGCAUUCGGCGAAAUGGGUGCUCGAAGGCGAUAUCAAAGGCUGCUUCGAUAACAUCAGCCACGACUGGUUGCUUGCCAACAUUCCGUUGGAUAAACAGGUGCUCAAGAAAUGGCUGAAAGCGGGAUUUAUAGAAAAUAAUCUAUUUAACUCAACGAAUUCAGGCACACCGCAGGGGUCGCCAAUAUCCCCGGUGCUGGCUAAUAUGGCGCUCGAUGGGCUGGAAAGAAGACUCCGGGAAGCAUUUGGGGGAUAUUCUAACCACCACAGGAAGAAGUACAAAAUCAACGUCGUGCGAUAUGCGGAUGACUUCGUGGUCACUGGCAUUUCAUCUGAACUGCUAAAUGAGAAAGUAAAACCGAUUAUUGAGGCCUUUAUGGCGGAACGCGGGCUUUCCUUAUCCCCGAAGAAAACGCUUAUCACCCAUAUAGACAAUGGAUUUGACUUUCUCGGACAGAACAUCAGGAAAUAUGAUGGAAAAUUUCUUAUAAAACCAUCAGCUAAAAACCUGAAAAAUGUCCUAAGAAAGAUAAAGGAAAUCGUUAAAGACAACUUAGCGGCGACAGCAGAGAUGUUAAUUAUAAAACUUAACCCGGUUAUUAAGGGAUGGGCUAAUUAUCAUCAGCAUAUCAUCGCAAAAGUAGCCUACGGUUACGUAGAUUAUCGUAUCUGGCAGUUGCUCUGGUACUGGUGCAAGCGGAGACAUCCCAAACGAAGCAAGUACUGGAUCAAAGAGAAAUACUUCAAGCGUAUUGGUGCGCGUGAAUGGUCCUUCUCCGCCGUAGGGCAUGAAGGAAAAACAUUCUCAUUGGUCAGAGCCGCGGAUACUGCAAUAAAGCGCCAUGUAAAAAUCAGGGGAAACGCAAAUCCGUAUUUACCAGAAGAUGAGGAAUACUUUGAAGGGAGACUUCAAAAGAUCUGGAGCCUCCAGGCAAAGGGCAGACGUAGCCUUAACAUCAUUUGGAGAAAACAAAAAAUGCGAUGUCCAUCGUGCCAUGAGUUGAUCACGCAGGAAACAGGAUGGCAUUUGCAUCAUAUCCAUCCUAGACACAAGGGAGGAUCUAACGAAUUGGCGAACCUGAUAUUACUCCAUCCGAAUUGCCAUCGACAGAUUCACAGUUUUGUCGCCGGUUCUGAAACAAAGAACUUACUAAAGGCUUGAGCGGUAUGCGGGGAAACUCGCACGUACCGUUCUUAGGGGGCGGAUUUAUAGCAAUAUAGGUCUGCUACCCGAC